RNAcentral lists this long non-coding RNA (5186 nucleotides) under Sus scrofa (pig). RNAcentral describes it as "lncRNA (ENSSSCG00055018015.1)". The record is from RNAcentral. Lineage: Eukaryota; Metazoa; Chordata; Mammalia; Artiodactyla; Suidae.
UUUUUCACUUACUAUAGUAAAAGCUUUUUAAAAAUACUAUUACAGACUAUUCAUAAGCAUAAUAUUUAAAGGCUUCAAAAAGUUCCAUCAUAUAUAUUUUUAGUCACUAUUUUUUAGCAUUUGGCUUUCCAUCUCACUUUUUUUCAAAACAAACAAAAAAAAAUGUAGGAAAUUUUGGGCUCUAAUUUCUAAAAUAAUCCAUUUUUUUUUUGAGUCACUUCACACGAAACAGAUUUAAUAUGAAAUACCAAUUUCAGUUAAAUGCAAAAAGGUGACAUCUCACUGGAUUCUAAUAUGUUCAGGUCCUUUCUGCAUGUGAAAUUCCUGUGGUGCACAAAAAUGGUCCAGUGAUUUUUUUUUCUGGGUAAUGAAUACAAACCUAGAGUAAUCCUUCCCUUCAGUGUAUUAACCCCAAAUCUCUCUUCUAAUAACUCUCUUUCCUUUCUCUUAAAAAAAAAAUCAUCUAAAUUACUUUCAAUCAUUAUCUGUCAGAAAGUUCACUGGCUUUUGGUUAUUUACAGGAAUCCUAUACAAUGAUGAGAGAAGAAUAUACAUAUUAUAUUCAAAUAUGCAGAUCAAUGUGUCUGUUUCUCUAAGAAAUUAAGGCUUUCCUGAUGUUUGCUUCUGGAACCUGAUUCUAAUGAAAUGUGCACACUGGGACUGGGGUAUGUGGAAUCCUAGGCAGAUGGUUACGAUUUGUGGGUUAAAAAUUUGUUGACCAACAGUUUGUAAAAAUGUUUCAACCAAAGCAAUUUCUACUGUUAUAAAAAUACAAUCUGAGAAUAAUGUAGUUUAAAAACAGAGCUAUAGAAUGUUUCUCUACAACCUCCCCUGCUUCUCUUUCUAUACUUUAUGCUCUACUUUUGUUGCCCUACCCCUCUUUAUCUCCAUAUUUUUUUUCUGAAAAAUGUUAUUACAAGCAGAAACAAAGAAUACUGGCCUAAAUAAAAGGCAAGUUGGAGUCCCUUCUGGCCCGCUUCCCCCCCACCUUCCAGAGGUACUACAGCGUGGUCCGGGGCCCUGAGCUGGGGGAAGCUAUUUUUCCCAGAGGGGGCCCUCUGUGACUGCCAUUUCUCAGUUGCCUGUGACCUACUAGCUCUGGAGCAAGGAAGGACAAGACACAAGAACUUUCUAUGUCACUUUUCAAGGGCUUCUGCCCACUUGAGGGGCUGAGGAAGAGGACAAAGGGACAAUUUCCUAUCUCACAGCCCUCCCUGUUCCUUCCUUUUCUCUGGAGGGAGGUCUUUAAUUGGCAGAGACUCUCUGUCCUCUAGCCCCUGGCACAGGAUCUCACACUUAGAGCUUGAGGAAGUGGUGUGGCUUGUAGGACGGCAGCCACUCCCCACAGCCAUUAUCCCAUCCAUCUGGCCAGGCUUCAAAGUUACAGUGAAGACAUUCAGUUUGGCCCUUCUGUGGAAUCACCAGGGUAGAAAAGACAUAGGAAUGAUCCAGUACAAAGUCUUCAUUUUAUAAAUGAGGUAACUGAGUCUUGAAAAAAUUAAGGCCCCUAUCCAAUGACAUGCAGCUCUUAGCCCAUGGCUGAUUCGAUACUAGUAAAUUUUCCAAAAUACUAUGCUGCAACAAAACAAUAGAUAAUUGGGAGUUCCCAUCAUGGCUCAGCAGAAAAGAACCUAACUAGUAUCCAUGAGGACAGAAGUUCGAUCCCUGGCCUCGCUUGGCGGGUUAAGAAUCCGGCACUGCUAUGAGCUGCGGGGUAGGUCACAGAUACAGCUCAGAUACAGGGUUGCUGUGGUCGUGGCAUAGGCCAGUGGCUACAGCUACGAUUUGACCUCUAGCCUGGGAAACUGCAUAUGGUGCAGGUUCAGCCCUAAAAAAGACAACAACAACAACAACAAAAAAUCCAAAACAAUGGAUAAUUAAGAGUUAGCUGAAAGUGUAUUUCCCCUGGGAAGGUAAAUCAUUUGACCAAAAAACAUAAGAUGAUUUUAGGCUUUAAAAAAUUUUUUUGAAACCACAAAUGCAACGGCAUGAAUGAGAUAGAGUAAGAGUGAGGACCUAAGUCUGAGUUGUGAUUCAUCUGCCCAUCCCAGUCAUGGUGAAGGGAUGGAAGAAGGGGAUCCUGAAUCCUGCCUAAUAUUGCAAUCACUGUGAAUACUGAAUUAGCAAUAAUCACACCUUGAAUAAACCUCAUUAGCUAUAGAACUGACACUGCACAAAGCUUAUUGUAAAUAUUUAAAUAAUCUUGAGAGUUCCUGUCAUGUCUCACUGGUAACAAACUCGACUAGGAUCCAUGGGGUUGCAGGUUCGAUCCCUGGCCUCGCUCAGUGGGUUAAGGAUCCAGCAUUGCAGGACCGAACCCGCAACCUCAUGGGUCCUAGUCGGAUUCACCAACCACUGCGCCACGACGGGAACUCCAAUAAAUAAAUAAUCUUGUCCUUUCCAAUUUUGUCCUGCAUACUUACAAGUAUUACGGGGAUAAGGCAUUUUUGUCAGGUUUUUAAAAACUUAGACAUACUCUCUCUUACCCCAGUAAAGAUAUACUUUCUUUCAAAACCAAACGAGACCUUCCUCAGAGUGACUUUUUCUCCAUUUUAUUUACAUAUAUAGUUGGAACUUUAAAAUGGCUUCUUAUCUUACUGAAGAAAGAGAAAAACAAGGAAAAUAUUAGGUUCUGCUUUUGAGGGGCACCCACGACACAAGUCAAUGAAAGUUUCAAAACAAAAAACCUCUGUCUUUCCCAGUUUGACUAAGCACCAAGAAUCAUGUUUUGUACAACCCAGUUCACCAUUAAACAUCUUUGGAAAAGGAGAAGAAGAGGAAGCAGAAUGUACUUGAGCUGUAAACAAAGAAGAGAAAAAAGAACUAAUGUGAUCAAAAACUAACCAAGUGUUGCACACUUGACUUACGGUCUUAUCCUAACAAACAAAAUAGAAAUUUUAUCUGUACUUAGCUAUCAAAGGGAAUGAAGGUCAAAGUUCACAUCUAGUUAAACGGCCAUGGGGAGAGAGAGAUUCAAACUUCUACCCUUCAGUUUUUCCUGUCUUCACUACCAUAUCUGCUCAGAUGACUGUAACACCUUCCUAAGAAAUCUCCUUGCUUCCACUGUUGCUCCCCUCAAGAGAGUCUCUACUCAGCAACCACCGCUUUUAUAAAAUAUAAACCAGCUUGUGUCACUGUCCCUUACUUGACUCAUUCUGGUGGCUUCUCUUUGGACUUAGAAUAAAAUGCAGUGUCUUUCCCAGGUCUGCAAAGACCUACCUGACCUGACAUUUAUCUCCAUCUCAAUUUCGCUUGCUCCCCUCCAGCCACACGACCUUCCUUCUGUUCCAAGAAGACCAAGCCUAAAUCCAGCUUUGGGUCUUUUAAUUCACCUUUUCACCUGCCUGCAAUGUUCCUUCCCCAGAUCAGGGCCCGCAGGCCAAAUUCAACACCCCAACCCCUGCCGGUUUCCGUAAAUUAAGUUUUACCGGUACACAGCCACAGUCUGUCGUUUGUUGUCUCUGGGUGCUUUCACACAACCGUGGCAGAGCGGAAUAGUUAGAACGGAGACCACAUGGCCCUCAAAGCCUAACAUUUUACUAUCUGCUACUUUUCAGGAAAAAAAAAAAAAAGAAAAAAAGAAAAAGGCCAACCCCUGCCCUAGAUUAUGGUCUGUUUGGUUCUAGUCACUCAGGAGUUUCCAUCUCAAAUAUCACUUCCAAAGAGAGGCUUUCCCUGACCACAAAUCAUAUCAUCUUGGAUCACGGUCCUUCUAACACUUAUUUACUCAUUUACUCCUUUACUUGUUUAUUACCUAAUUCCCUGCUAGACUGUGUGUUCCAGGAGAGUUACGACAUUCAAAAUCUUAUUUAUGUCUGCCAAUUAUUAACACAGAAUAAUCUCUUGAUAAAUAUUUUUAAUAAAUGAACACAAGAUGUAACGCUUGGUUUUUAUUAUUCCAAAACUCAAUAUAUUCCACUGUGUCAUAUUUUGUAACAACAAAAGAAUGUUCCGGCCAAAGGAGAGAACAAUAUAUAAUUAAGCAAAUUUUGCUCAAUUCUGCAGAUCUCUUUCAGAUUCAGUAGAGAUAGACAGCACACCGCCCUCAGGAAAACCAUAAAGUAAAGUCUAUGAAAUGUAGAGUACACAUUUGCAGAGUGCACGGCAACUUAAUUGGAAGCACCAUAUCACAGAUCUAUCUGUAACAACCAGACAAAAGCAUCUGGAAGGGUUCCAUGGGGAGAAGAGUUUGUUCUGGGUGAGCCCUAGAAAACACUUCAAAGCAAGCAGUUUGUCUUUUGAGCUCAGCAACUUUGUUUUUCUCCUUACAGCAAUCCCCUCCUUCCAUUAAGGCAACGGCCGUCCUCCUGCUGACUAAUCCUGGUAUAUCUAAGAUACCCAGUUCAAGGCCCACAAGCAAGACACUUGGCCCUGACACUCUUUUCCUUUUAAAGUUUACUUGUCUUGAGGGCCAUGCCUCAAGACCUUCACCUGCUGCUGAAAGCUGAUGGUAAUACAUUCGUCAUGUAAGUAAGUAAAGUGAGCUGAUGGCAAAUACGCUCAUGGACCGGCCCUCCCUGAGAGAGCCCCUGCUUUCACUUAGACAGUCAUUAAGGAAGAAGGUGUUUCCCGUCCUUUGGUAAGCCACCUACCUCCAGGGUGUCCCCGCAUGCCUAAGCACCAUCAAAACAAUUCUGGCUUGGGGUCAGAAUGGCUCUAACUAAUUGGGACCUCCGCAAUCAUUUUACAAGUCUGUAAAGUAAGGGUCAAGGAUUAGAAAAUCUCUAAGUCCCUUUAAUGACAAGAACCUAGUCUUCUAAGAUGACCGCCAGAGAUUUCAUGUCAGUGCAGAAGUGAAUGGAGUACGGACACCGAGGUCACAUGGAUGGGAGUUAGACCGGUGUGUGGUUUGUGGAAAAUUCCUUCAUCUUUCACAGUCUCAGUUGGCUGGGUAUACUGUGGAAAUAACAAUGCCCACCUCCUCUGUGGUUAUGAGAAUUGUGGUGUGCUAACUGCAUGGAAAGCACUUAGAACUGUACCUUGCUAUUAAAUGGAAACUAUUUUCAUUAUUUUUCUAAUGUGCCUUACUUUCAAUAAAUUUGUGGUAAUAUAAUAUUGACUAUUACAUUGGUUUAUUUUUAUGAAAUUAUUAUCUUAGGAGGUGAGACACACUAGCAAUAAAUUUCAAAGAGCUGGAAGAGCUGAGAAGAGUUGAUAAUGUGAGCCAAUACGGAUUAGGUCACGUA